This 447-nucleotide ribosomal RNA is filed under the name uncultured bacterium. Its description in RNAcentral is "SSU rRNA". It matches the Rfam family "Bacterial small subunit ribosomal RNA", at positions 26 to 518 of the family's 1533-position model. The record is from RNAcentral.
AGAGCGAACGCUGGCGGCAUGCUUAACACAUGCAAGUCGCACGGGCACUUCGGUGUCAGUGGCGGACGGGUGAGUAACGCGUAGGUAUCUAUCCUUGGGUGGGGGACAACGGUUGGAAACGACUGCUAAUACCGCAUAAUAACUGAGGUUUAAAGGCGCAAGUCGCCUGAGGAGGAGCCUGCGUACGAUUAGCUAGUUGGUGGGGUAAAGGCCUACCAAGGCGACGAUCGUUAGCUGGUCUGAGAGGAUGAUCAGCCACAUUGGGACUGAGACACGGCCCAAACUCCUACGGGAGGCAGCAGUGGGAAUAUUGGACAAUGGGCGAAAGCCUGAUCCAGCAAUGCCGCGUGUGUGAAGAAGGUCUUCGGAUUGUAAAGCACUUUCAGUGGGGAAGAUAAUGACGGUACCCACAGAAGAAGCCCCGGCUAACUUCGUGCCAGCAGCCGC